GAGUAUGAUCCUGGCUCAGGACGAACGCUGGCGGCGUGCCUAAUACAUCCAAGUCGACCGAAUCUUUCGGGACUCAUCCCUUGAGAUUAGCGGCGGACGGGUGAGUAACACGUGGGUAACACCCCUGUAAGACUGGGAUAACUUCGGGAAACCGGAGAUAAUACCGGAUAGUUUCUUUUCUCGCAUGAGGGAAGAUGGAAAGAUGGUUCUGCUAUCACUUACAGAUGGACCCGCGGCGCAUUAGCUAGUUGGUGAGGUAAAGGCUCACCAAGGCCACGAUGCGUAGCCGACCUGAGAGGGUGAUCGGCCCCACUGGGACUGAGACCCGGCCCAGACUCCUACGGGAGGCAGCAGUAGGGAAUCUUCCGCAAUGGACGAAAGUCUGACGGAGCAACGCCGCGUGAGUGAUGAAGGUUUUCGGAUCGUAAAACUCUGUUGCCAGGGAAGAACGC
This 452-nucleotide ribosomal RNA is filed under the name uncultured soil bacterium. RNAcentral describes it as "bacterial SSU rRNA". It matches the Rfam family "Bacterial small subunit ribosomal RNA", at positions 9 to 452 of the family's 1533-position model. The record is from RNAcentral.